Hylaeus volcanicus is the source of this 2002-nucleotide long non-coding RNA. RefSeq lists it as uncharacterized. The record is from RefSeq and is a predicted model, not a curated record. Lineage: Eukaryota; Metazoa; Arthropoda; Insecta; Hymenoptera; Colletidae. The transcript has 7 exons.
GUAUUGAUUCUUCCAGUUGCUUGAUCAAAAGAAAAACAUUGUGCCGUUUCAGAGUCUUGCAAAACAUUAAUUUUAUGAAGUAGUGUUGUUGAAGAUGUGGUAGAAUUGCCACAUCGUUCAAUUGUAGUUCUUGUCUGCCAUCUAGAUUUCAGCGUGUAUGCAACGUUUUCAAUAAGAAGGUAAAAACCAUUACCGCGUUCUUCCUAUAUGUGGCCCGCACCAGAUUUCCACACAUGCUUCUUCACCAGCAACUCCUGUUAUUUCAUAAACAUCUGAUAUGAGCUGAAGAAAAUAUCGUUGUUGAAUGAAAAUCAAAAACUACGUCAUAAAAACUAAAAUGUACUUGAGCUGGCAUCAAAUUUUCAACACGAUCAAGCCUUUCAACUCUAGCAGACAGUUGUAAACGGCCCAUAUAAGAAUUAGAGGGGUCAUUACCAACGAAAGCGUAAAAAUUAAACCAACGAAUUGUCACCGGUCGGCUUCGAAGUUCAGCGAAAGAUAGGCGUCCUUUUAAAAUAAUAGCGUCCUGUUUUUUUAAAAAAAGAAGAUUAUUGCUGUCUUAUGAGACAAAUUUCCUACUUGCUGAACGGGUGUAACAACAGGAAUGCGGAAGCAUUCAUUGAAAGAAUGGUUUCGAGUACUUCGAGCUUGCGACUAAGAGAAUGAACCCGCGAAUUCACAUGUCAGAAAUGGAUCUCUUUCAGCUGUACAAUUAUAAAAUAAAUUCAAUAUUUUAUUUUAAACUCUUAUAUUCAUAACAAUUUAUUUUUUUAACAAGCGUUAAAAAUUAUGUCUAAAACCAAUGGGUUAAGUUUUUUACAAAGGUUUUAACCUUCAUUGACCUUUUGUCAAUUACUCGCCGUACCUUUAGAUCUUGCAGUAAUAGGGAUUUUGUUAGGUGAAAUGCUGUCCAAAACCCCAUGACGUAUAUCAUCUUCAUUUCCAACGUUGUCAUCAGAGUCUUGAUCGUUUGGACUAGGUGGUAUGUCUUCGGGUCCAAUAACAUAAACUGUAAUACGGAGAAAACCUUUAAUUCCGGGUUCAUUCAUUAAGUACAAAGGAACUGAUCUGCAAAACACACAAAAAGUUAGAUUACGAAGAGAAAUCAUUUUCUGACACUUACCGCUUGACUUGAUGACAACGACGUGCAUGAAUCAUGGAUACUAAAAACAAAUAACUUUUUUACAUCAUAUAAAUGUAUUUACAUUGCAGUGUGCAACUUCCAAUAACAUCGUUUCUCCAAAACGCAUUCGCGGACUGGACUUCAAAAACAAUACAAGCAGAUGCCCAAGCCUAGACCACACGACGGCAUGUUGUGAGAAAACAUAAGUCAUUAUUUACAUGGCUUGAUAAGGUGAUAUCCGACCAAAUAUGCGAUUGAUCCCAGCUCACUACUCCAGUUUUACCUCUUUAAUAUGAAUUUCAGACAGUAUAAUGUCAUGAAAAGAUUGAGUUUUUACUCAUACCUUUUUAUCUCAGUACAAAAUUCGUUUGAACCACAUCGAACAACUACAAGCUAACACAAAAUAUUACAUUUAACGAUCAUUGAACUAAACUAAAUUCAUUUAUACUCACAGGAUCCACUGGGUUUCCUCCCUUCGUUACUAAUGACUUGGCGUCAUGGACGGUAAAACCGAUGGUGAAUGUGCUGGAUGACAUACUUGUUAAUGUUUUUUCUUAAAAAUUUAAAUAACAAAAAAAAAAUGAUUUCUUAAUAGAAGAAAUACAACUAACGUUAAGCUUCUUAUUAGUCACAGAACAUUUGAGCUUCCGCUCUCCCUCAGUUAUUUAAAAAAAAAAAUUUAACAUAACUUUUUACGUCUGUUAAUUUUAAAAAAUUAAGACAACGUAGUGUUUGUUACGUGUACCAUAUUGAAAAUCAAGGGCUUUUAAUGGCCAAUUUUUCAGCCAUCAAUGACACUUUUAACACUAUGCUUUUUUUAAAUGUAUCGUCAACGUUUCAUGUAGUAGUUUUGAAUGCCUUGUUUCCAUUAAGAGUAUU